GGUGGUGGGGGUGAUGAGAGAGAGACAAAGGGGAAAGAGAGAGAAAUCGAGGAACGAGAUAGGGAAAGAAAGAAAAAAUUUAACAUCGAAAAAAGAGAGAAAGAAAGGAAGAAAGUGUUUCAUGAAGAAGAUGAGGGUCCUCUCAGAUCAUCCUAGAAAGACAACAAUAGAAGAACAACCAUCAGAAGAAAAAAAGAAAACAAAAUAAGAAUUUGAAAAUUUAUUUGUUUUGAACUUUGGCUGCCCUUUUGCCUCUGUCUCAAUUUGCCCUUACCUAUCACUCCCUUCUCAACCAACAUUGCAUUUCCUUCCUAUGCACCUACAAGAAGGAGAAUUCUUUUCUUGCGCCUUUUUGUCUUUUUUGCAUGGUAAUUUUCUCUCUAUAUAUCAAUGCUUAAUUAAUGAUUUCCUUCCCCUAGCCACACCUUUUUUUUUUGUUGCUUUUUUGUUGUUCACCUUGACACCAAAAAGCUUGAUUGCUGGUGGGGUUAUUCCAUUUUCUUAUUGUUAUGAUGUUGGUUGGUUAUUAAUUAUCUUAAUCUUAUUGAAAUUCAUUCAUUUUGUUAACUUUUCUUAUGGAUUGAUUUUAUUUCAGCUCCAUCAAUUGUUGAAGAUGAUUGAGAGGAAAUAUUGAGUUGAGUCAAUUAUGUCGUUGUUGAUCAAAAGCUUGUAACAAAGAGAU
This 682-nucleotide long non-coding RNA is filed under the name Glycine max (soybean). RNAcentral's name for it is "long non-coding RNA (GMAX_LNC003361)". Lineage: Eukaryota; Viridiplantae; Streptophyta; Magnoliopsida; Fabales; Fabaceae. The record is from RNAcentral.